This 58-nucleotide microRNA precursor is filed under the name Homo sapiens (human). RNAcentral describes it as "Hsa-Mir-506-P5c_pre stem-loop". The record is from RNAcentral. Lineage: Eukaryota; Metazoa; Chordata; Mammalia; Primates; Hominidae.
UUCUCAAGGAGGUGUCGUUUAUGUGAACUAAAAUAUAAAUUUCACCUUUCUGAGAAGA